RNAcentral lists this unclassified non-coding RNA (378 nucleotides) under plant metagenome. RNAcentral's name for it is "partial contains 5.8S ribosomal RNA, internal transcribed spacer 2, and large subunit ribosomal RNA". The stretch from base 1 to 105 matches the Rfam family "5.8S ribosomal RNA", at positions 50 to 154 of the family's 154-position model. The record is from RNAcentral.
GAAAUGCGAUAAGUAAUGUGAAUUGCAGAAUUCAGUGAAUCAUCGAAUCUUUGAACGCACCUUGCGCUCCUUGGUAUUCCUUGGAGCAUGCCUGUUUGAGCAUCAUGAAAUCUUCAAAGUAAAUCUUUUGUUAACUCAAUUGGUUUCUACUUUGGUAUUGGAGGUCUUUGCAGCUCCACACCUGCUCCUCUUUGUUCAUUAGCUGGAUCUCAGUGUUAUGCUUGGUUCCACUCGGCGUGAUAAGUUAUCUAUCGCUGAGGACACUGUAAAAGGUGGCCAAGGUAAAUGCAGAUGAACCGCUUCUAAUAGUCCAUUGACUUGGACAAUACUUUUAUGAUCUGAUCUCAAAUCAGGUAGGACUACCCGCUGAACUUAAGC